RNAcentral lists this ribosomal RNA (253 nucleotides) under uncultured bacterium. Its description in RNAcentral is "partial 16S ribosomal RNA". It matches the Rfam family "Bacterial small subunit ribosomal RNA", at positions 524 to 776 of the family's 1533-position model. The record is from RNAcentral.
UACGUAGGGGGCAAGCGUUGUCCGGAUUUACUGGGCGUAAAGCGCGUGUAGGCGGCGACGAAAGUCCGGUGUGAAAGCCCCCCGCUCAACGGGGGAAGGUCGCUGGAAACUGCGUUUCUUGAGGGCGGCAGAGGGAAGUGGAAUUGCUGGUGUAGCGGUGAAAUGCGUAGAGAUCAGCAGGAACACCCGUGGCGAAGGCGGCUUCCUGGGCCGCGCCUGACGCUGAGACGCGAAAGCGUGGGGAGCGAACGGG